CCUGGUCUCAUGGGAAAUACGUACCUCUGCACACUUUUUUGCAGCGCCACAAAUAUGUACCAGCUGGUACGUAUUGCCACAGUUUUGAAACACAAACGUCCACUGGGGUCGCUAAAGAGAAGGACUGCAUGACAUUGUGAUCGACAGUAAGAGCAGAGGUUCCAGUCAUAUCAAAGAGGAAGAAGAGUAAAGUUUUUUAUUUUUUUUUAGCCUAUCAAGGAACAGGAGAUUUGAAGAUCAUCUGUAAUCUCACUAUCGCUCUGCCUCAUUCAGUACAACGCAGACAGGUAUUAAAAAAUAAAUGACUGAGAGAGUCAUCUGAUCAGCCUACAGAGAAAAAUAUGGAGGAGGAAUUACACUGUGAUCUUGAGGAAAUAAUGGCUGAUUUGGAGGAGAUGCAGUUAUUUUGUAUAAAACUAUGUAGCAUGCUUUCUGCAUCAAUCAGUAUUUCACUAAUGUGGGAAAAGAAAAUGGAUCAUUGGAAUUUGUUACUAUACCACUGUUUGUAUUUUUUGCAACUUCCAUAAAUGAUAUUCUGAAUCAUGUUAUUAUUUCUUAAAAAUGUAUAUAGUUCGGAGUCAUUGUUCUACCUCUUAUGUUUGAGUAAUACAGAGUGAGGAAGCGGUCAAAACACCACCU
Molecule: long non-coding RNA, 639 nt
Organism: Carassius gibelio (silver crucian carp)
Lineage: Eukaryota; Metazoa; Chordata; Actinopteri; Cypriniformes; Cyprinidae
Exons: 4
Source: RefSeq, a predicted model, not a curated record